GAGAGUGGCACAUUCAAGUUCAUAGACCGUGAAGGAAAUCUGGCUUUAGUUUUAGAGGUCAUACCAUCAGCAUCAAUGCAUUUUAACCCUGGCAUUAUGUUUGAAUUUGGAACUCUUGUUUUAAUUGUUUUCCAUACAGUUGGCUGUGGUUUAUGUCUUAGAAUGUUCUGCUGUAAAAAUGGAAAGCCUCCUUCUCAGGUUGCUCAGACUGCACAAGAACCUAGAACGCAUUAUGAUGAUUUAAAUGAGUGUGAAGGUUCAGGAUUUUCUGCUGCACCUUAUCCUGCAGCGUUCCCCCCUCCAGCAGUGAAUGUACCUUUCCCUCCUCCUGCAAUGAAUGCUGGGAUUUCCCAUGAUGCUGCAGCUGCUUCCUCUAGACCUGUGGCAUAUCAACCAACAUAUGAGAUUAAGAAUAUCUCUCAGCCUGAGGU
Molecule: long non-coding RNA, 431 nt
Organism: Oryzias melastigma (Indian medaka)
Lineage: Eukaryota; Metazoa; Chordata; Actinopteri; Beloniformes; Adrianichthyidae
Exons: 3
Source: RefSeq, a predicted model, not a curated record